This 487-nucleotide ribosomal RNA is filed under the name uncultured Pseudomonadota bacterium. RNAcentral's name for it is "bacterial SSU rRNA". It matches the Rfam family "Bacterial small subunit ribosomal RNA", at positions 355 to 861 of the family's 1533-position model. Lineage: Bacteria; Pseudomonadati; Pseudomonadota. The record is from RNAcentral.
UGGGGAAUAUGGACAAUGGGGGAAACCCUGAUCCAGCAAUGCCGCGUGAGUGAAGAAGGCCUUAGGGUUGUAAAGCUCUUUCGCCCGCGACGAUGAUGACGGUAGCGGGAGAAGAAGCCCCGGCUAAUUCCGUGCCAGCAGCCGCGGUAAUACGGAAGGGGCGAGCGUUGUUCGGAAUCACUGGGCGUAAAGCGCGCGUAGGCGGCUUGGCAAGUGCGGCGUGAAAGUCCUGGGCUCAACCUGGGGACGGCGCUGCGGACUGCCUGGCUGGAGUCCGGAAGAGGGUGGUGGAAUUCCGAGUGUAGAGGUGAAAUUCGUAGAUAUUCGGAGGAACACCGGUGGCGAAGGCGGCCACCUGGUCCGGCACUGACGCUCAAGCGCGAAAGCGUGGGGAGCAAACAGGAUUAGAUACCCUGGUAGUCCACGCCGUAAACGAUGGGUGCUAGAUGUCGGGGGGCUUGCCCUUCGGUGUCGGAGCUAACGCGUU